Onychomys torridus (southern grasshopper mouse) is the source of this 4768-nucleotide RNA transcript. RefSeq lists it as uncharacterized. The record is from RefSeq and is a predicted model, not a curated record. Lineage: Eukaryota; Metazoa; Chordata; Mammalia; Rodentia; Cricetidae. The transcript has 10 exons.
UGUCAGGCUAUUUCAAUGUACCGUGAAUUGUUUUAUGCCAUUUUUUUUUAAAAGAGCGACAAUAUGCCAUGUAUCUGUUUAUUUGAGAGAAAUUGACGGGAUUCAGAAGUGGGGUACAGGCAGAGAGGAGGGACAGUCAUCCACCCAACCCUAAACUCCGAACCAAACGGAAAACCCGCGCUACCCUCCUGGGCGUGUGAGAAGAGCCCGGCCCAGGAGGGGCUGCGGGAACCUCAGACCAGAGCCGGGAAAGUGGCCACGAGCUCGCGGCGGCCCGCUCGCCCAGCAGGAAAGACCUGGAGGCCCCGGAGGUUGCUCAGGUUUCGGGGAGAAUGAACUGACCCAGCAGGAGAGUCCCGGUUGCUAGGGUGCGGGGCCCAGGACGCCCUCGGCGCCUCCAGACCCGGUGCCAGCUCGCCCAGCCUAGCCGUGGGAUGCCAGCGGGAGCCGCGGCGGGGAGCGCAGCGUCCGGCAGAACCGGGCCGCUAGGGACGAAACGCGGGAGCGGCCGCGGUCCCGGCUCCACGUCCUUCUCCCGGGCCAAGCCUCUCGGCCACCACCCGGGCUCCGGACGCCGCGGGGCGUCACUGGCGCGGGCUCCGCGGCCCGCCCUGGGUUCGAGCCUCUGGCCGGCCUCGACCGCGCUCCACCGCGCCCUGGGCUGGGGCGGCCCCUGGCGCUCUGCUCUUCGUCCGAGCGGGGUCUGGGGUGUGGCGAGCGCCCCAGACUCUCGCUCCCGCUUCGUCCGCCCGCUCCGGCCCGCCCAGCCCCGCUUCCCACAUAGAAUUCCAACCUGAACGUGUCUUUGGUCGUCUUUCUUGCUUCAUUUAGCGUUACUAUGCCUUUUGUUAAUGUUUUAUUUUUAUUUUUCCAAGUAGGUGUUUUAAAUCUGUUUCCAGGCGCACUCCCCCACCCCCAUCUCUCUCAUCCUCUUGCUCCCAAGUCCGGGCUCUUUGAUUUUUCCCUCCUCCCCACUUCAGGGACAAGACUCUCACGGAGACCUACAUACCGCAGCCUCUUCUGUGAGUGGCAAGGGAGAGCGGUCAACGAGGGACAACCUCACACCCACUCGCGCACCGGCGCUCAGUGGUCCCACACUUUACUCUCCCCCCACCCCCCACCCCCAGAGCACCUAGCACAUCCAGGCCGGUCUGCGCCACACUCUGCUCCAUUACAUGGACUCUGCUGAAUUCGGAAGACUGAACCACAGGGUGGGGGGAGCGCCGCUGAGCGCCACACAGAAAGGCCCACUGGCUAGUCCUGCUUCCUCUGGCCUAGCCCAGGGCAGAUAGAGACAGCAGAAACUGGGACUCCUAGGAGGUGGGGGGGGGGGGUCUUCAGGACCACAAGCCCUUGCCUCUACAUCUAGUUACCUGGGAGUGCCACAGCCAACUCAAGCCAACUUUCUGCACACAUACACACACACACACACACACACACACACACACACACACACACACACACCACACCACGCCAGGAUCAGCAUGUUACAUGAAGCCCCAAACUAUACACAUAGACCCUGAAUGUACGCUCAAUCAUGAUGCAUAUAUCCCCAUCAGUACACACUGGCUGUGCACUGAGAAUAUAAGCAAGGCACAGACGGGUAAACCUACUUGCUCACACCCAGUAAGGGGCAGGUUUCAGUCUCAGCGUUAACUUAGAGGUCACGGGGACAGCGGGGACAGAACACCCACAUACACCCACCCAGACUCCUUUCCUCUGCCAACACUGGGGCCGAGGUUGGAGUCACUGCUCAAGAGUGUCACUUGGGUUUUGACCCAGAGGAGUCCUUAGCCUCAGAAGUGAAUCUCAGACGCAGGAAAGUCUGCCCACCCAUUCUGCACCAGGAGAGCCAGGCAAUGGACGGUCAGCCAUUGUGUUUGCGUGCCAGGGGCAAUGCUUUUCUGCCUGUACCAAACACAGAGACAGUGCUUGACCAGGGUGACAGCAAACAAGAGAUGCAUAUGGUUCUAGGAAUAAAGUAAUGUGUGCAGAUGUAUGGGUCCUGACACACAGGCAGGGAGAUGGAGAGCAGGAGACUCCUCUCCAGCUUCUGGGGACGGUAACAAGCUGGCAUGCUAGUUUUUGCUUCUCUUGUUCCAGGAUGGAGGAGACUGUGUGGUUAUGGUGGUUUAUCAUUGAUUCUUGUAGAGUGAAUACAUAAUCAAGCUACCGAAUGAGGGCAUUUGGGCUGCUUUAGGGAGAGACUCUGAGGGUGAGGGUCUGUGUGAGCUGUUACUCCAGGUCUCAAAGGUACGUUCCAAAGCGUCAGUGAAAGUGGUAACUAGACAUACCUGGCCGAUGUAUACAGAUUACACUGGAUAAAAUACAGAUCUGUCAUAGGAACAGGAGCAUCUGCUCCACAGGAGUCCUGCAGAAGACCAGCAGUUUCCAGUUACUGGUGUCCACUCUAGUUGCUGGGGGGAGUGGGAGGAGAGACGAUGGGGGUUGGCAAGACUUUCUUGCAUACACAGCUCCAGAGGUUUGGGGGUUAACUAUCACGUGGAAGAACUACAGAGGUAGGAAAGUGUGCAGACCCUAAGUGAGCUGCCCACCUGUAUGGAGCCAGUGUGGGAAGUGAUCCUUCCAUCAUCCAGGCUCCAGGUCAGUAAAGUGCAGACUCUGCUUGGUGACAUUGCAAAUCUGCUCUCAGUUUCUGAAGGACAAAGCAAAUGUAAAGGUCCUGUCGUCCCAGGUCUCUCCUGUGGGGCGGGAGAAGAAAGUUCAGCCCCCAGGGCUGCAUGGCAGAGUGGGCAGUUGCUCUGUCCCUGGCUGUGCUUUGGUGCCUCCCAGCAUCCUUUUCUCGGUCCACAGGCAGUAACCCACCCUGAUUUUGUGUCUGUUUCUCCUGUUCUCUCCUCCGGUCCUUCCUCUUCAGCUCUUCCUCCAUGCUUUCCCUGUGCCUCAGCUCUUCCACUGAACACGACCACAAAGACCCUGGCUGGAUGCAGGAGUGAAGGCCGAUACAGAUGCUCACAGUGUCUGUGAAGUGGGAGAGCAGCAAGAGAAAGAAAGAAGCAAACGAAAUUCCUGAAUGGAUAGGAGAUGCUACGUCAGCGUCAGCGGUACCCGGUCGCAUCCUCCACUCCACAAGAGAAGAAGAGCUGGGAGAGACCCGCGGCGGCGGCAACGGCGGCGGCGCAGCCACGCGCCAGCAUCGCCUCUUCGCCUCACAGAAGCAAGGAGCAGCCGUCUAGAAGCAGGCUCCCCCAUCGCUCACAGAUGGAUGUCGUCAGAGGAGGCCCGCAUCUCUGGCUUUGGGGGAGAUGCUGUUAUCCCAUGUCACACAGACUCAAGUGAGAAGCCCACGUUACUCAAUGGCUGGACACCCAACGCUCCGUCCAUGGACUCUGUCAUGGAGAAACUUCUUCGCUGGGCGGGUGGGUGCUCCACCCUCCCGCCCUCUCUCUGCCCUGUGGACGUGUGGACCAGUGACGUCCAGCACCACGGACAGCUCCUAGUGGCCUCUGGGUCAGCCAGCUCCACACAGAGGUGUCGGCGCCUGAUGUCUCCCUCGUGGUCACUUUGGUCAUUUCAACCAUCUGUUGAAGGUCCUCUCCUUGUUCUCCAGAGCAGCAUGAGCCAGGCACUGUGGAAUCUCUGUUCAGUGAAAUGUAUGAGGACCUGUAAGCCCUGGUCCACAGCCUUCCAGCCUGAUUCUCCGGUCCUGGACACGGUCAGCAGAAGUUGCACAGUCUUUCUCAUUCCUGGCUCUGGAACCCUUCCCAAGCAUCUCGUCCCGAUCUCUGUCGCUGUCACACCAGCUCUUAGCUCUCCACGGAUGAAGUGAAAGGCAAGAAAGGGUCUACCAGCCAGCUUUCAUCAUUUUAAAGCAAUUCCUCUCCCUGGAUGGUGGGAAACGAAAUGGAGGGUUAAUUAACUUGGUAAGACGUUUAAAUGCCCCUUAAAGACUUGGGGAGUGAGGACAGUGAAAUGGAUAUGCUGGACCCACGUGUGGAAGGAAAAACUGAUUCCCAAAAGUUGUCCUCUGACCUCCACCCAUGUACCACGGCCUGCACACCACCCCCUCAAAUGUAACAAAAAACAAACAAACAAACAAAAAUUCAAAAAAGACGUGGGGAUUUCCAUUCAAUGUCCCCAAAUGUUUUGGAACUUUCUUUUCUUUCCUGUCAGCACCCUAGAGGAGGCAGGAGCCAGGGACUACCAGGGAGGGGCCAUUUCCUAGGCUGGCUGGUGAGGCCUUAGGCCUACUGGGAAGGCUCCAAAGGGUCCCCAAGAACUCCAGCCCCUUCUUUCUAUCUCCCGGCGGAGGGUAAGGAAUGGCUAGCUGCCUUGGCUGGAAGAGUCCUUGGUACUGAGCAGGGCCAGCUGGCUGAGAAGCAGGUGGGGAGGGAAAGGACCCUGCUUAAGAGGGGGCUGGGUGGGAGGGCUGGGUAAUUUAUGAUAUCAUUGUUCCCACCCCUCUUCCCAGCCCCCUGCCACUUUCCUGUUGCUAGGAGACCCUGGCUGGCCCUGUCAUCUGGACUGCUCCUCCCCAGCCAGGGCCAAAGAAGACCUGACCUCACUCUGCGCUCCCCUUCAAGGCGAAGUGUGUUCCCAGACUAAGAAAGGGCUGGCUCCAGCACGCAGAAAUGGACAGAGACAGGGGUGCCACCUGACAGCUUCUCCCCAGAGCUACGGAACGAGGGCCUUGCUUACCCGGUCACUGCCAGCAAGUUGUCCCGCCUGGCCCAUCUAUGUCCCCUGUUGCCUCUCAGCUGGUCCCUAAAUCCUAUCCCAUGUCCAAUAAAGAGUGUUGCAGAUUGAA